AAUAAAAAACUAAAAUCGAUUGCUACGAAUACAUAAUAUUGUAAACAUUUAGACUAAACGGUUAUAAAAAGUAUUGGUUUUUGGAUUUUAAUUAGUAUAAUAUGAAUAAAUUAUGAGGAACCUAGUGAUAUAAAAAACUAAAACGUUAUACUAUGAAUAUCAAUUUAAAAAACGAUAAUUCAUAAUACUAUAAAUAACACGAAGAGAUCUUAAGUAUUUUGAAAAUCAUUCCAUGUCUAGUAAAUGCUUAUACAUAUGAAUAUUCUGUAAAAACAUUAUGUCCCUAAAGUUAUUAAUUUAUGAGUUACAACAAAAAAGUUAAAAUACAUUUUGUCGAAAACUGGUUAUUUUGAAAAGUAUUUGGAAUUUUACUUUUGACCCGCCUGUAAAGUACCAACUAGAUUAAAUACCCUCAAUGUUGAAAAUCCAGCUUUUCUACUACUCCAGAGGUCAUGACAGACAGAAAAAAACACACAUAUUAUUGUAAAGUCUAUACAUUGAUCGCUCCACUCAGAAUCUAAAAUUACCUCAACGUUCAAACGACAUCGUUGGAGCUGAUGGUGAAAAAAAAUAUCUGCAGUGCGUCAGCCUCUCGGUUUUCCACGUGAUACGAGCUCCAGGUCGCAAUUUUCUCGGUCAGCGGACAUAUACAGCUAUACUGUGCAUGUAUAUAAAUACGCCAAAAUAUAAUAUUAUAUUUCGAUCCGGAUGCCCGAUAAUUUACAACACACAUAAUAUACCCGUCACACAUAAUUCAAUACGAACCUAUAAUGGUGAUUUAUCUCACCGGCGACGACCAUAACAUAAUAUAGAAUAUUUGUCUGUCGUCGUCGACAUCGGUUAGCGGUCGGUGCAAAUUCCGUUUAUUAGCGAGCUUGUCCGGGAAAUAUAUUAUUAUUAUUAUUGUGGCUACGGCUCCAAAAUAAUAUUGUUUAACAACACAUACAAUCCAGGGAGGCUCCGUCGGUUGGACGAUUUAUUACGACGGGGCGCCGUGCCCGCGAUCCCAUACCCGGAAGCGAUCGUGUUCGUCGUUGUGAUCCACGUGGUCUUACACUUUGCGAUUUAUCGCUGUGUCGUGUAGCACGAGAAACGAAUGAGAAUAUUUGAGAUCCGACCAAAGCAACACGGAACGGAAAUUCACAUAUUAUUAGGUAUUUCAUCAACUUUUAGCCAGCAGCAACUCAAGAAUAAAUACAAGACAAAGAAUAUCCCGUCAUAAUCGAGUAAAAGUUAACUCUUUAAGUAAACGUUAAUGUAAAAAUGUUAAAAAUAUAUAAUAUUAUAAUUUAUUAGUAGCUAUUAGAUAUUUUUUUUCGUUAAGGAAAAUUAUUAUAUUUAUUUAUUAGUAUAUUAACGCUGAACGGCGUUAAGGAAUCAUGCAUGUGGAUAUAAUGUUUUUUGGUAAAGUACAGUGAAAAAAUACCUACUAAUAUUUAGUUAAAUUUUUUUUUCUUGAUUUGCGUUUCCAUGGAAAUAAAUAAUAAACAAAGUGUUACAAAAAUCGGUGAAAAAAAUAAAAUUGUAUCUAGCCCAAAAACAUAUCUAUGUUAAAAAAGAGAUUAUAUAAAAUCGUGUCGUUGGUAAAUUAAAACAAUUAUUACGUUGGCAAAAAUGCACAGUGAUCUAUGGAUUCUGGUUGUGACUUAUGAAAAUCACCAUUCAUCUGUCUACGGUUCGAAUGAUACUCAUUAUUUAUUAAAAGUUAAUUUUUUUUUAAUUUUAACGUACUCAAAUCAUUUUUGAACGUACUUAGGUGUUCGUCGGACGGCUUGGUGAAGUCAUAAAGCUAUCAAAAAUCGACCAAAUUUUUUACAGCUACGCAGGUAAACGUCUAAGUUCAAUAGUUUUUUAUAGUUUCAUACGAAUA
Molecule: long non-coding RNA, 1870 nt
Organism: Myzus persicae (green peach aphid)
Lineage: Eukaryota; Metazoa; Arthropoda; Insecta; Hemiptera; Aphididae
Exons: 3
Source: RefSeq, a predicted model, not a curated record